Molecule: long non-coding RNA, 6243 nt
Filed under: Xyrichtys novacula (pearly razorfish)
Lineage: Eukaryota; Metazoa; Chordata; Actinopteri; Labriformes; Labridae
Source: RNAcentral
GGGAUUAAUUUAGGGUCAAACCCACCGUAACACCGAGUUAGACCCCCCCUCCAGAGGUGAAUGUUGUCGACCGCUUGCUUCUCUAGUUAUACCAACUUUAGUAACGACCGCAGGAUAGAAAUACAGAGAGGUCUGGGGAGCCAUAAACAAACCUCAACCAAAACGCCACUCUAUAGCCACAAAUAAUGCUCAGAACAGCACCUAACUUCAUCAACAGGACAUAUAGGGUCACAGACAUAGUACUAGACACCAAACAUCUUUUUAACUUUGACUCAUUUCUUUAGCAAAGAGACUAAACACAACUCACCUACUCUCUUCCAGCAGACGCUUGUUUGUAGUGAGACCUCAGGCCAGUCCAUUAUGGACUACAGCGGGGUGCCGCAGCUCAAGGAAGAACAUUUAUGAUCAUUUCUUCAUCAUUUCCAUGAAGUAAUAAUCACCAUAUUAAUCAUUUUACAGACGCGGUAGUUCUUCUGUCUUAGCGUCUCGGUCUGAUUGUAUUUCCAUGAAGAAAUGAUCAUAAAUGUUCUUCCUUGAGCUGCGGCACCCCGCCUUUAGUCAAUCUUUAAAGGUUGACUAAAGAGCAUUUAUCACAGCGCUGAAAGGACUCCGUACUGAUCCUCGAUUACAGAAACUGCUGCAUUCUUCAGAGAGAAUUUCACCAAACCCUGUUUUUAUUUUCAUCGACUGAGCAGCUAACAUGAAGCUAACAUGCUACAUGAGAAGACUGCUAAUGUUUGCUCUACCGAUCGAUCUAAAUGCCCAAAAAUCUACUACCAUCCCCUGUCACAGUCGCCUCGGACCUCCCCAGGAAGAACUCCAGGUCUGGAGCUGGUCCUCAUGCUGUGACCCAACUUCUGUUUUUUUUCCUUUUACAUUUUCUUUGUAAAAUCACAUGAAGUAAAAAUAAAAAUGAUGCAUACAGGGAGUUUUAAACCAUUGUAUUGUUGCUGCCGAGGAGAGCUGUAACCUAGCAACAGUAAACACUGGAGAGCUGGAUGGACUCUUCAAGCACAGAAACCAUCAUCAGUGGAAACAGGCCUCAAUCAGACAAAGUCCUCCUUUAAACCACCGUAAGGGAAAUAAAUCCCAGGAUCCUGAUGUCUCUGUCUUCUGUCAGUGACACUGGUUUAUAAACAGACCCUGACAUGUCAGAUCUGAAGCUCUGCCUCAGAAAUAAGCACAUAGAUACUGCAGUCAGAGUCUGACCUGCAAAAACACAGACAGCUGACCACCUCUGUGAUGAGCAGAGUGAGACUCAGCAGGAUUUUCUCCAUGAUGACAGAGGAUAAACAGCUGUAGAUCAGCUGGACGGUCAGCUGUGUGCUGUCAUUGUUCUGCCCCACUUCUUUGAAGGAACCUUCCGGCUCUCCUCGGUGCCGUAUCCGCAGACAGCUUAAGUGGAUCAAUUAGCGAAGACGAAGGCGGACCUUGAUGAAACUGUUUGCUUUUCUCUCAUUCUCUCUAAUCACAUGGAGCUCGUCAAUUACGCCCAUAAAUGGAUCCUCUGUUCCUGUCGACCAUUCCAGUGAUUCAUGUCCAGAGGCUGUGGUCGCCAUGGAAACCCAACAAUGGAAAACAUGUUUGACACUGAUCCCAGAAAAGUGUCCUGUCAGACCCGGAUGAAGAGUGUUUGUGUGGAGUUUGUUUUCUCUGCUUUAUCGACGCUGGACACUCGUCUCUGCACCUUUUAAUGAGAGCGCACGUGAAAUCUGAUCACAUAAAGUCAUAUUCACUCUGCCAUCAUGCAAAGUCUCUUCGCCUUGUAUGUCUGUGUGACCUGUUUAACAUGAUAGGAGUGGGAGCCCACAGAGCUAACCUGAUUUCAUAAGCAAAUCAGGUUGUAUCCCAGAUGUACAACAUCACUGUCCCUGCUGUCUGUGGCGACCAAACCCAGAACCUCCUCUGAGAGCGGCUCUGAUCUAACUAACUGCAGAUCUAGGACAGACCAUCCUCUUCUCUCAGUCCAACCUUUGGGAAGGACACCUGAUGCCACAUGAUGGCACCUGUUUGCUGUGAAUAGCUCCCACCCACACUGUGUCGAAAGACGGUGAGAAACCCCAGACAGAAACCUGUGAUGUACAGGGACUAAUCCUGCACACAAAGACCGCUGAAUACGCUGAUGCAUGAGAGAGAGAGAGAGAGAGAGUCCGCGUGUCUCACUACCAUCUGGUCUACGAGGAAGCAGAGAGUCAAUGCUUUUCCUUGCCUGUCAGAGACAUCUGACAAACUGGAAACAGACAGCACACAGACAUUUCACAAGGGAUGGGAACAGGCUCAAAAUGGUUCAAUCCAUCGACAUUGUUUACAUUUCAUUUUAAUGAUUCCCUGAACGAUUCCUUUCUUCUGGGUUCUUUGGAAAACUGUCUCGUGAGAGGCAGUCUACACGAGAGAGAACAGAGAUUCUGAGGAAACAAACAUGGCGGAUGGUACAAAAGUAGGCAGAAACGAUCUAAAGCGUGGCGUCAUUUUACUAAAAAAGACGACAAUUUUUGUGUGGAAGUUUUGAGUUUGUGUAGCGUGGACUAACUGAGUUAGAAGCCUGUAAAAAAACACUUGACCUGACCAGAAAAACCCUCUGAAUUUUGCGUGUGACUCCACCCCGCGUAGCCGUGUCCUCCUUUUGGGGAUCCAGGAUAUGGUCACCCUAAUUUGAGUUUAUACCGUCCAAAGUAAAUGCUGAACAAAUAGUUUGUCGUUUGAUUAUUUUUAGACUCUCACUGAAGAUGGCGUACAUCUUUCUCUGUCAUCAGAGACUCAAUAAAAUUUUGAGUUAACAUUGAUGACUGUAGUCUAUUUAUUUAAAUCAAGAAACGGCGUUGAUAAGGGAAUCGUAAAAGAAUUGAAUUGAUAAACAGAAUCUUUGAUGACAUCGAUAUCGAUAAAAUCUUAUCAGUUUCCAUCUCUACAUUUCACACUCUCCAGGAAGGUCUGAGAGGAUCUCAUGACUGACAUGAUCAUAAAUCCUAAACUGACUCUUCAGCAGUCUGAAAGUGUUGAAGUUUACAGAUCAGGUAAAGGUUCAGUUUGGAUCCUGUGAAGGUUUCAGCUGGAGGCUGUCGGGGUCGUCACUCACAUCUCUGAUGUCCAAAUAUUUGUGUCUGUUUGUUUGUCCACCUGCACCACCUGAAGCUGUUCUUCACUUUUCUAAAAGGUCAUCUUUACAUCAAAUAAUAUCAUUACAGGACACAUUUGUGCUGAGUCAGAUCUCUACGACAUUUUUAAAAAGACUUUUAAAAUAAAAUUCACACACCUAACUUAAGUGAUAUCUGAGGCAUUUCAGGGUUCACCUCUUUCAGACAUACAUUCAUAUUUUCAUGAAUAUAAUGAAAAAUUAUUAUUAUUAUUAUUAAAAACUUUUGACAGUAGAAAAGUGGAGUAAGUUGAAGACCAUGAAGUCGGUCAAGUGUGUUUACAGCCGUAAGAAAGAAAGAUCAACAUUGAGAAGAGGAACUCUGGAAACUUGUUUUUCAGUCAAUACAAAACAAGUUUCGGUUCCUGUCCCUCUGUUUGAACAUCAGUGAGCUCAACGCUGCCUGUGUCCAUCAGAAACUGAAGCUGUUUGUUAUUACAGGUAUCUAACGAAAGGGAGACAAUGAUGUGUGUGUGUGCAUGCGUGCGUGCGUGUGAGGACAGUAGGACUCCAGCUCUGCUUGACUGCAGUUCCUCUGACAUCAGCAGAUACAGUGCAGCUCCUCUAAUCCUCAGGACAAACAGAAAGUGGACAGAGAGUUCGAUAUCCGCUGCUGUCCCUGCAGAGUGGAGGAAGCUGCAGAUAAGAUAAGAUGAUAUCUGUGAGAUGAACAGCAGAGCACUUUCCUGUCACUGUGACUGUAGUGAAUAAAAUGGCUUUGAGUUUAAGAAGUCAAAGUUAAAGGAUGAGAUGAUGCAGUGAGUUUGCUUCAGGAUGGUUUUGUCUGAGUGUUAAAGUGCAGAUUAAUCAUCUGGUUAAUUCAGUCUGAAGCAGCUUUUUCAUGGGAUUGAGGUUAAAGAGACUUUGAAGGGUUUUAAAAGAUGUGGACUUUCAGAGACAUCAUGGACGAGGGAAAGAAGAGAGAAAAAGAGAUAAAAGAAAGAUAAAGAGAGAGAAAAGAGAUGAAAGAAAAUAAAAGAGGGAAAAAGAGAUGUAAGAAAAAUAAAAGAGAGACAAAAAGAAAUGAAAAAAGAUAAAAGAUAAAAGAUAGAUAAGAGAGAAAAGAGAAAAAAGAUGAAAGAGACUUUGUGAUAUUUUAGAGGAUUUCUAACAUUAAUUUUAACAAAAGGUUAAUGCACUUGAAAUAUUUUUUCAACCCUUUAUUUUUCAGCCCAUUCUUUCUUUUUUCUUUUUUAUAACUAUUUAGGAGGAAAUAAUGUUGAGAUGUAAGGGAAGCACAGAUCAGUGUCUCCAGAACCCUUCCUGUUUGCGUUAAUUAUUUAUCCUGACCCAUGUCUGAUGUUGAGUGUGUGUCAUUGGUGCUCUUGUGUGGACGCCGGCUUUGUUUGUGUUUGGUCUUAACCUCCACAAACACUAAGUCCUGUGAUCCAGGUUAGUAGGCUUUAGGGCUCAGUAUUGUGUUUGAUAAAAGAUACAGAUCCUCUCUAUAGAGCGGUUUUAAUAUGGACUCUUUGACUCAUGACAAUAGCCUGUUUAAAUCCUUUAAUUUUACUCACUGAUGAGGACCGGUCUCAGUGUAAUCGAACACUCAGACCAUAUUCAGCCCGGUCCUCCUGUAAACAGAGACUGCAGGCCUGCAUUAGCUCAGGUGUGUCGCUCCUCGCUGUUGUCUAACCCCCCGCUGAGAGGAUGUUUUUAUCAACGCGCCUUAGAGGGAGCAAAGCUGAUGUCACUGCGUUUAAUUAAACCGUCCAAUAUUAUAUUUUUGAUCCAGUGUUCAGGCUCCUGCUCUGACUCAUUAAUCAGACACUAUCCUGUUAGAGAAAGAAGAGUUUUUUUCCAUCAGGCUGCAAAUGAAAAGCCGGUAAAUUUGACACCAUUCACAUCCAUUUAAACCAUCAGAGUGUCAGAGAGAUUCUCACUAUCAUCACCACCAUGCAUUAUCCUUGUGUUUGACCUAUUCCUGAAGAAAUGGGGCAGUAACCAAGGAGAGAGACCGAUCGUUCGGUCUAAAAAUACAGUCUCAGAGGCUGGCUUCACUUUACUGCUGCACAGUCCCCCUUUCCUUGCCUCUGUCACGGCUCAGGAGAAGCUCUGUGUAACAAACAAGCCUCGUCUGAUCAUUAUCCAAACUGCAAGCAGCCAUUCAUGCUCCACCUCACUGCAGGCCCUCUGUUCAGCUGCUGUGUGCCAAGUGUCUGGAGGUUUGUUUGCUAAUUGGUUUGUUUGACUCUGGAAAGAGCUUAAAAGGAGAAUCAUGAAAGAUAGAAGAGAAAGAUGCAAAUACAAAACUACUCGCUUUCCCAUCAGGUGCAUUAUACAGCUACACUUCUCUUGGUCAGAUAUUGACAGUCCACUCUGCAUGAAAUUAGAUCAAAACUGCAUCUAUUUGGAGCAACCGUGUGAUCGGGGCCACAGAUCCCUGGAUAGCAGGGAGGCCCAAAAUACCACACAUGGUGUUUCUGUGGAGGAAGGACUUCAUAAAUACAGUUUAAAGGGAUAUGCCGGCGUAAAAUUAAUUUAGGGUCAAACCCACCGUAACACCGAGUUAGACACCCCUUCUAGAGAUGAAUGUUUCCGACCGCUUGCUUCUCUAGUUAUACCAACUUUAGUAACGACCGCAGCAUAGCAAUACAGAGAGCCACGCCCCCAACCAAAACGCCACUCUAUAGCCACAAAUAAUGCUCAGAACAGCACCUAACUUCAUCAACAGGACAUAUAGGGUCACAGCCAUAGUACUAGACACAAAACAUCUUUUUAACUUUGACUCAUUUCUUUAGCAAAGAGACUAAACACAACUCACCUACUCUCUUCCAGCAGCCGCUUGUUUGUAGAGAGACCUCAGGCCAGUCCAUUACGGACUACAGCGGGGUGCCGCAGCUCAAGGAAGAACAUUUAUGAUAAUUUCUUUAUCAUUUCCUUGAAGUAAUAAUCAUUUUGCUCUGCAGACACGGUAGUUCUUCUGCCUUACCCCCAAUUUCCAAGUUUCCAAGUUUCAACAUUCAUCUCUGGAGGGGGUGUCUAACUCAGUGUUACGGUGGGUUUGACCUUAGAUUGAAUUUACGCCGGAAUAUCCCUUUAAGGCACUAAUAUAAGACUGGGUUCAGCAAGGACUCUGAUUCAUUAGACAGACCCACCAUAAUGAGGCA